Molecule: long non-coding RNA, 11662 nt
Filed under: Nicotiana benthamiana
Lineage: Eukaryota; Viridiplantae; Streptophyta; Magnoliopsida; Solanales; Solanaceae
Description: long non-coding RNA (NBEN_LNC036131)
Source: RNAcentral
UUGAGAAGUUGAUCGCGGAGGCAUAUUCAGCAAUCGAUAAAGCAGUCAAAGCUGGGUCACUUCACAGGAACACUGGAGCAAGAAGAAAAUCUCGGCUUGCUAGAAGAAAGAAAGCAGUUGAAAUCCAUCAUGGAUGGUAUGUACCUGCUCCAGUCGAGGAACCCGCUCUUGUAGCCACAGCUUGAUGUCAUCCACAUUUUCAAUGUUGAAUGUAAAGUAGUGGCAGGAAUCCAUCAUGGAUGGUAUGUGCCUGCUCCAGUCGCGGAACCCGCUCUUGUAGCCACAGCUUGAUGUCAUCCACAUUUUCAAUGUUGAAUGUAAAGUAGUGGCAGGUUGAGAACAUUUCAGCUUCCUAAAGUAUGAUCAGAUUAUUCCAUUUUUGAUAUUGUAUAUGACCUUGUUGUCCAAUCAAUUUCUCCUUUUCUUUUGCUCUUCAGUUAAAUUGUGUUUACCUUCAUUUUGUUUCUUGAACAUUAUGGCGUUAAUUAGAAUGUUGAUUUGAAAAUUGAAACACACUUCCAAAUGGACCCUUUCUUGGAAUUGUAAACUAUACUGAUAUACUGUAAAAAGUUUAUACAUUGUUAGAGUGUAUAACUUAAGUCCUUUCUUACCAACAAUUACUGGCUUCUUCUUUUUUUUUUUUUUUUUUUUUUUUNNNNNNNNNNNNNNNNNNNNNNNNNNNNNNNNNNNNNNNNNNNNNNNNNNNNNNNNNNNNNNNNNNNNNNNNNNNNNNNNNNNNNNNNNNNNNNNNNNNNNNNNNNNNNNNNNNNNNNNNNNNNNNNNNNNNNNNNNNNNNNNNNNNNNNNNNNNNNNUUUUUUUUUUUUUUUUUUUUUUUUGGCAAUGAACUUUUCUCUUCUUCGAAAGCAAUGUACUAGCUAAUCAUCUUGGGGAAAAAAACAAUGUUCUAGCUGCUUCUUUCAAUGAGGAAAUUGAUGUUGAAUGUUUAACAUCUGUUACAUUUUAAACACAUUUCAACCAUUUUCUAAAGUAAAAUUUAGAAUUCAAUACAAUGAACGGAAUUAUUAGGCUUAGACGAAUAGAAAAUGAAAUUUAAACAUGUUUUUCGUUUCUACAUUGCCUUAAAUUUGUUCUACUUUGCCUAAUAUUUGUUCUCACAUUUUAAAACUUCUUUUUGUGUAUUACAUAAUUGUGAGUUCGAAUGUAAGACGAAGUUUCUCUCUCUUAGUUUAAGAAUUAUUAGGUAAAAAAGGUAUGGGGUAAAGUGGUAUUUACUUUUUAUCCAAUAUUGUUAAUGUUUCGCAAUAGUAGCCACUAGUCUAUUAAAAUUAUUAUGAAAAAAUUGGGUUACCCUUUCUUCUAUCUCUUUUUCCUUCCCAAACCUUCUAUCAAGUCCAAAUAUACCUAUAAUGGAGAUAACGUGUAACUUGUGCUGACAACUAUCAAAUUCUUCCUACUCUCAAUCAAAUCAAAAUUUCUUGUUUCUGUGAACAUAUACUGCCCUUUCCUUUUCAACUCAUGUUCGUAAUCAUACCCCAAAAACAAUAUAAAUAAUGAUUUCAAUAAUUGUAUUUUUGAUAUUUUUGGCGAGACAAAUACAGUCAGAGCAAUUCGAGGUGUUAUCGGGUUAACACAAAAUGCAUAGCAGAAGACAUAAUGAGUCGUGGUUGCGGUAGGUACUUGAUCCUUAGAGUUAGAAGAAAAAAAUUGGGAUAUUUGGUCAUUAACUUAGAGUUACAAUCACAUAAAUUAAGGACAGAUAGUCCUUAACUUAGAGUUACAAGCACAAAAAUUAAGGAUAGGUAGUCUUAAACUUCGAGUUUCAAGUUCAAAAGUUAAGGACAAGUAGCCCUAAACUUAGAGACACAAGUUCAAAAACUAAGGACAAGUAGUCCUUAACUUGGAUUUACAAGCUAAUAAAUUAAGGACAACUGGUCUUGAACUUAUAUUAACAAGCCCAUAAGUUAAGGACACAUGGUCCUGUACUUAGAGUUGGAAGUUCAAAAUUUAGGGACACUUGGUCCUUAACUUAGAGUUACAAGCACAGAAAUUAAGGAUAUGUAGUCCUUAACUUAGAGUUACAGGCACAUAAAUUAAGGAUAGCUAGUCCUGAACUUACAGUAACAAGCUCAUAAAAUAAAGACACUUGGUCCUGAACUUUAUGAGCAGAAGGGUAUUUUCAUCCAGGCGGGUAAAAGUUUAAAAGCAGUGGCUAAAGACUAAAGACAUUUUAAACAAUGGCUUAAAAGUAAAUACAUAUCGUACUACUGGCUUACUGUGCACUUAGAGUUUCAAGUUCAAAAAAUAAGGACAUGUAGUCCUGAACUUAGAGUUACAAGUGCAAAAGUUAAAGAUAAGUAGUUCUAAACUUAGAGUUACAUGCUCAAAACCUAAGGACAUGUGUUGAUACCCAAUAUUUUUUAUAUCUUUUAAAUAUGCAUAAAUACCUUUAAAAUAGCAUAUAUAUGCAUAUAUAAGCAUCCAAAAGAUUUUUAUAAUUUUUUUCCAUAAUUUCAAGAAUUUAAAUUAAUUUAUUUUUUCCCCUUUUAUCCACAAAAUUCCCAAUAAUAUUUUCCAAGUUAUUUUUAUGAUGAUUUAAUCAUUUAAUCUCUAAACUUAUGUCAAAAUAUGGCUAAUAUAUUUUUCAUGCAUUUUUAUAAUUACAUUUAGUAUUUUUUAUAGCUAAAUUGCAUAUAAAUGCAAUAUUAGCCCAUUUUAAGGAAUAAUUAUAUUUUAUAUGCAUAAAAUUGAUCUCUAUAUUUUUAAGAUAUUAAUCAUGUAUUUUAUAUCAUUUUUGGCACCUUAAAAUAUUUUUCAAAAAAUUACCGAUUAUUUAUAAAUUAAAAUAGGAAAAAUAGCUACUUAAAUAAUAGCCAAAUUUGGCUUUCAAUUGUAGCCAAAGUCGGACCCUUCCCUAGCCCGAUUUUCUAUCAAAUAACCCGACCAAGCCCCAAUUACCUCAUACCCGCCCCAAGCCAUCUUAAAUGAACGGCCCUCGUCCCUUCUUUACCUUUUAAUUCUAAGAGAUCCCCUAACUCUAACCAUUUCUCUAAAUCUACUGCCCUCAAACUCUCUCAUCUCCUUUCUUCUCUUUCAACCUAUCCCUAGACUCUGUUAAUCGCCUCCUUCUCCGGUUAUCUACGGCGACCACCUUUUUAUCCCAAGCCUCGAAUCUCUCAUCGCCGUCAUCAUUAUCUCUAUGGCCUUCAAGAGUCCUGCGCCAUGCCGAUUUGGAUCUAGGGUUUCUAUUUCUGCUUUUCGUGACUUCUCUUGUGUGAUUUUGGGCAAAAUCACACCAUAUAUGUUACGAUUGUUGAAGUUUGCAACAAGUUCUUUUAAUUCUACUUGGGUUUCCUUUGAAUCCCUAACCCUCGUUUGAAUCUCUUAAGAACUGUGUUAUUUUUAACGCUUUAGGUCUGUUUCUUCCUAUUUGCACUAUUCUCAAACUUCUUCUGAAAGAUCCUCAACUUUAAAACAUUUACUUUCUUUAAAAAAAAUUAGGGUUUUCCCGGAGUUCCUUCUUCACUUGUUUUAAUCAAUUUUCCUUAUGGUUAAACAUCUUUCCUUGCUUAUUUUUAGUGAUCCUAUGUUCCUAACAUUUUUUAACUCGACCCUGUCAAAAAAAGCCCUAAUCUUUAAGACAUUCUUUACUUUGGUUUUGUGUGUUAGCAUGACUAUUUGAUUUUGUUAAAGUGUUUAUUGGUUACAAUGCUUCGAAUGGAUUUUCUACCGAGUCUUUAGCCUACUUAUGCCACUUCUGUAUGAUUGUGUUUGCUCAUCUCUUACUUCUUUCUGUCUAUAUGGCUGACCUUGCCUGUUUGUUGUGCCUGUUCGUUCUUCCCUAUUUGUAUGUUGAAGUGCAGAAUCAUGAAUCCCUCUUGAUUGAUUCUAAUUUCCUUAAUUUAUGGUUUGAUUGCAAUUUCCUCUCAAAACCCUAAGGUUCUACUCGUCUAUUUAAAUUGACGGAUUCUGUUUCCUUAUUUGUUGUGGUACUUCACACGUACUGAAUUCUUUCCUUUAUCAGUAUAGUCUGUACUUAGAAUUAAUCAUGUGCUAGACUUAAUCAUGUGCUUUAUACUUUUAAUAAUUUUAAUAUCAUAAAAAAUUAGUCUUUCUCAACUAAUUUUCUUUCCUUAAUUAUCCUUGUUGGUAUCCUUUCAAGCUGUGAUCCUUGAUUAAAGGGGAUAACUUGUAUUAGUUGGAUUCUAAUUAUAAUUACUUCCAUAAUUGUGCUAAACCUUUACUUGUUACCUUAUUUUCUACUGAUUUUCAAAACUAUAAAUACACUAAGUCUUUCAUUAACAGAGACAAACACUUAGUUUUUCAAAAACUACAUCUCUUACUAAAAAAUCUUGGCUCUCCCUCUCUCUUGCACUGUUUGCUACUAUUAGCCGGCUGCAAGCCAAGGGUAAUCAUUUGUGCUCUUUAGUUCUUUCAUCCUACUUACCUCUAUCUUCACCGGUAUGUCCUAGUUCUGAUUUAAAGCUCCAACAACAAUAUGCUUCUCUUAUUGUUUCAGUUUCUCUUAUUUCGAGCUUGCUUCUACUUGUGGUUCUAUUGUGAAACUUGUAUUUAAGUUACACUAUCAGCAUGCUAUUAUUUCUCCCCUUCAAUGUAUUCCCUUAUGUAUGUGUCAAAGCAUGCCUUGCAAGUUGUCUUUUACUUCUUAUGUGUUUACCAACCUAUGAAUCCCCAAAUCCUUAUCACCCCUUGUAUAAAUUUGUAUUCUUCCUGACUGAUUUGUGACUAUGCCGGUGUCUACUAUUUCUGAGCAUGUCUAAUCCAGUCUUACGACCUUUGCUGGGUUAUACAACCAAAUAUCUAUGCAUCCCCAAACCCCUUGAUCUCUGUGUGACUACUGAAUUUAUUUGGAUUCUGUAAACUAGUUGUAUGUGAUCUGAUCUUAAUGUGUUUAAGCUUUGUUUACUAGUCCAACCUCUUUUCAAACAAUCUCUAUUGCUUUAAUACCUACUUUCAAAACAGACUUUCCAAUACAGUCUUUAAUAACCCUUUUCAACUUGUGUCCUGCACUUCCACUUUACUCUUUGUCAAUAAGUUCUGCCCUCUCUAGUAUGUUUACUACCUUGGGAUCCUCUUGAGAGCCCUCUGAACUCUGGCAUAUUGAGGCUGGCUUUUCCACACUGCACCGGUUCAAUUCUUGGUUGCUAAGUCUAUGCGUAAGCAUUGUUUGGGGUCCUUGAGACCCUUAGGGAACUUUGAUGCACCUAGACUCUGAUUUGUCUAUGGAAUUGAGGCUUAUGAGACCAUUGGAGGCUUCGAGAAACUUGGGCCUAAUUCCAGGCUCCCUAUAGAAUGGCUUCUUGAUUUUCUAUUUCACUUAUGUAAUUCAUUCAUUUACCUGUAAUAAUUUAUAAAUAGAUCUUUGGGGUAUUUAGUAAAAAAGGUGGGUAGAUGUAUACUUUAUAGUGUAAUAUGGGUAGAAAUCCUUCUCAUAGGAUCUUACUUCUAAAAUAUGCCUGCUUUACUCAAUAGAAAAUAUGAUCAUAGGGUUUCACAUUUUUUUUAAAAUCUGAUUACUAUGCCUAAGUAGAAUCCGUGCCUAUACGAUUUCACUUCUAAAUUCAUUUGCAUCAAGUAAAAAUCAUGUACUUAAGGUUCUGCAUUUUGUCAUGUUAGAAACCAUAUUCAUAGGUUCCAAACAUCUAUGUCUUAAAUCAGUAGAUGCCAUGCCUAUAGGACUCAACUCCGAUUCCAUUUUAAUAAGUAUUUCUGUAUGUCGUUGCAAAUCGAUUAUAAUCAGCUAUCCACUUAGAUAUCAUGCCUAUAAGGAUUCUACUAGCAUUACUGUCUGAUAAUUUAGUUUGGCCUAAUAAAUCAACUUCAUUACGGUUAGUUCAUUUUUAAAACUGGUCUAAUUAGGUGUUAAACAUUUCCUGAAACAAGUUCUUUCAAAAUUACCUCAAUCUCAUUAGAUAUCAUGCAUAUAGGUAUUAAAGGAGUCUAUUUCGAAAACCUGUUUGUUUCUGCAUUAAUAUAGACAUAGCAUACAACAUAUAGGCAAGCCGUAGGGCAUUUUCGAAAAUAGCAUUUCCCUGAAUCUGUCUCGGUUGUUUAACAUUUCUGAUUCUAAUAACUUUUAAAAGAGUCCCUAGGCAACUACUAGGUUAUAACUUCUGGGUAUAACAGUUUGGUCUGUUUCUGCAUAGUCACUUAGAGAUCUUGCUUUAGGACUUUGAUUAAUAAAGACUGCUUGUAUGUUUACUUGAGGGGGAAACUUUGAGACUCUUAUGUGCUUCCAUUAUGUGUGAAAGUCCUAAAUGUUUGACUGUUGCCUUAGAGUGUUCGCCUUUUGAAACCUUAGGGGUAUGUCUAGAACUACCUAUAGGUAGAUGUCCUAACUCCUUCCGGGAUCACUAAGAAGGGAUGGGUAGCAUCACACAAUAGGAAUUAGUGAACAAAUAAUCUCUUUACAUGACCAAUUAGGGGGAUGGAAGGGUAGAAAUGGGACAUGAUGACUAUGCGUUAAUGUCACAUGUAGCCCCUCAUCGAGGAGUGUCUACCGGACAUCUUAUAAGAUAAACAACCUAGGUCCCUCUUUACCCAAAUCCUCUCUUUAUUUCAACCUUUGUUGUCCAACUUGUCCAAACCUUUAUCUCACUACUUUAAUUAUUGAAUGUGUUUAUUAACAACCUACAUCAUUCAACUGUUUAUAUGGACUAAUUUGUGCAUAUAAGUUCGGUCGGGACCCACAGUUGUUGACCAAGAAGGGUGCCUAAUACCUUCCCCUUGAGGUUACUUCGAGUUGUUACCCUAAUCACUGGUAAUGCAAACCAACUCAAGAGUUAAUCACUCUAGGUGCCAUAAUGCACCAUAAUCCGUUAGGUGAAAACACUUCAAAUACCCAAUUCCUAAAAGUAAAUGAAUCAUUAUACCCUAUGAAUUUCAAAACCCGGACUUCUCCUUGCGAAUGGAAAAAAGGGGCGCAAUAAUAUAUAGUCCUUAACUUUGAUUUAGAAGCUCAUAAAAUAAGGACAACUAGUCCAUAAUUUAUAAUAACAAGCUCAUUAGUUAAGGAUACCAGGUCCUGAACAUAGAGUUGAAAGUUCAAAAACUAAGGACACUUGGUCCUUAACUUAGAGUUACAAGCAUAAAAAAUAAGGACAAGUAGUCCUUAACUUUAAGUUACAAGCACAGAAAUUAAGGGACAGGUAGUCCUGGGCUUCGAGUUACAACUUCAAAAGUUAAGGGCACUUAAUGCUGAACUUAGAGUUACAAGUUCAAAAGUUAAGCACAUGUAGUCUUAAACUUAGAAUUACAAGAUCCAAAACUGAGGACAUGUUGUCCUUAACUUAGACUUACAAGCUCAUAAAUUAAGGGUGGCUAGUCCAGAACUUACAGUAAUAAGGUCAUAAGUUAAGGACAUUUAGUCAUAAACUUAGAGUUGGAAGUUCAAAAAUUAAGGACAUUUGGUCCUUAACUUAGAGUACAAGCACAACAAUUAAGGACAAGUAGUCCUUAACCUAGAGUUACAAGCACAUAAAUUGAGGACAGGUAGUCUUGAACUUCGAGUUCCAACUUUUAAAGUUAAGGACAUAGAGUUACAAGUUCAAAAUUUAAGGAUAGUUAGUCCUAAACUUAAACUUAUAAACUCAUAAAUUAAGUACAACUAGUCCUAAACUUAAACUUACAAACUUAUAAAGUAAGGACACUUGUCGCUGAAAUUUAUGAGCAGAAGGGUAUUUUCAUUCGGGCAGGUAAAAGUUUAUUAGAACAGUGGCUAAAGACUAAAGACAUUUUAAACAAUGGCUUAAAAGUAAAUACAUAUCUUAUUACUGGCUAACUGUGUACUUAGAAUUUCAAGUUCAAAAAAUAAGGACAUAUAGUCCUGAACUUGGAGUUACAAGUUCCAAAGUUAAGGACAGGUAAUCCCAAACUUAGAGUUACAAGCUCAAAAAUUUAGGACAUGUAGUCCCGAACUUAGACUUACAAGCUCAUAAAUUAUGGACAACUAGUCCAAAACUUACAGUAACAAGAUCAUAAGUUAUGGACACUUGGUCCUGAACUUAGAGUUUGAAGUGCAAAAAUUAAGGACACUCGGUCCUUAACUUUGAGUUACAAGCACGGAAAUUAAGGACAGGUAGUCAUUAAGUUAGAGUUACAAACACAGAAAUUGCGGACAUGGUAGUCCUGAACUUUGAGUUCCAAGUUCAAAAGUUAAGGACAUGUAGUCCUGAACUUAGAGUUACAAGUUCAAAAGUUAAGGACGGGUAGUCCUAAACUUAGACCUACAAGCUCAUAAAUUAAGGCUAGCUAGUCCAGAACUUGUAGUACAAGCUAACAAGUUAAGGAAAUUUGGUCAUGAACUUAGAGUUGGAAGUUCAAAAGUUAAGGACACUUGGUCCUUAACUUGGAGUUACAAGCAUAGAAAUAAGGAGAGGUAGUCCUAAACUUAGAGUUACAAGAACAAAAUUAAGGUCAGGUAGUCCUGAACUUCGACUUCCAAGUUCAACACUUAAGGACAUGUUGUCCUGAACAUAGAGUUACAAAUUCAAAAGUUAAGGACAUGUAGUCUUAAACUUAAAUUAAUAAUAGCUAGUCUUGAACCUAUAGUAACAAGCUCAUAAGUAAAGGAAACUUGUGUAGAUAUCCAAUUUUUCUUUGUAUAUUUUUAUAUGCAAAAUACUUUUAGAAUAGCAUAUAUAUGCAUAUAUAAGUAUAUCCCAUUGUUUUAUUACUUUUUAUUAAUUUUUAAUGUAUUUUAAACCAAUUUAUUCCCAUAUUUUAUUCAAUAAAAAAAACCCAACAAUAAUUAUCAAAGUUAUCAAUCUUGGUGAUUCAUUUAUUGGAUUCUCAUAUUUAUAAAAUAUAGUCAAGAUAACGUUUUGCAUAUUUUAUACAAAUUUAUUUAGUAUUUUUAAAGUUAAAUUGUAUAUAAUUGCAAUAUUAACCUCUUUUAGAUUUAAUUGCAUUUAUAUUUACGAAAAUUAGAUCCAUUUUUUUAAUUGAUAAUUAUGUAUUACAAAUCAUCUUAGUACCUUUAGUUUAUUUCCAGGAAUUGUGGCCUGAAUUGAACCCCUAAUUUGAAGCCCAAUUCCCAUUCAAAUAACCCAACCCGGAUCCCAUAUCUAACCCUUUCAAUCAUGGUCGUUGAUCAUUUAGAUCAACGACCAAUAUUAUCCCUUUCCAUUUUUAACCUCAAACGACCCACCCCAUUUUACACUAAACGCCGCCCUUGAAUCCCUUCCCUCACAACUCUCUCUGCAGUCCCUCAUAAACCCUAGCCGCUGCAAUCAAACUACAACCUUAAUACCUCCCAAAUCGAUAGCUUCCAAGGUUAUCGGAGACCUGUAUCAACCUCCCAUGGCUUCUACAUAUUCGAUUCUUAUGGUCUCAAGGCUAGAUCUUGAAAGAGCUUGGUCCAGAUCCUGGUUGAUUUCAAUUCUUGGUUGUUCUUUGGUUGUCUCUAACCUUUCACUGGCCAGCCAUAUCUAGUCGAGUCAGACUUUUGACUCUCCUACUUAGAUCGAUGAUUUUCAAAGCAUUUCUCAUCACGUGGGGUUCUUAUGAAACCCUAACGUCUAAGGUUCUUUCGAUUUCUUCUAGAUCUGUUUCAGAUCUAUGUUUGCUCUGAAUUUCUAAGUAUUUAUUCGAAGUUUCUUUUAAAACUCUGCCUUCAAAAUCCUAUAUCUUUUUCGAUUAAGGUUUUUGAUAAGUUAUCUAUACCACCCUCGAAGGAAUAGUGUAUAAGGGAUUUUUUUCAAUUUAUGUGACAUUAUUCGAAAUAGGAUUAUUUAUUCAAUUUUGUUCGGAGUCGCCACCUGGGAUGGUUUAUUUUCUGGUGUCCCAAGUCACCGGUUUACUUUAAAAUUCCAAAUCAAGGAAAAUUCGACUUUCCAUGUGAAGUCUGCGAACCAGAAAUUCUAAAUAAGGAAUUCUGUUAACCCGAGGGAAGGUGUUAAGCACCCCCGGAUUCCGUGGUUCUAGCACGGUCACUUAAUAUUAUAACUAGCCUAUUAUGUGAUUUUAAUACAUAUUUUAGCCUAUGGUAUAAUUUUAACUUACUAACCGCUUUUAAAUAUUUUUUAAGAAGAUCUCAACGUUAUCUAAGACGUAUCUUUGAACCAUGCCACAUAAAAUAUACCGGAAAUCCGAGACACAUUUUAUUUAAUGUUAUGAGAUUUGGAUUUGGGUCAUAUAAACUGCGCAACCGAGUUUAGGAAGGUAAAUUAUUAAAAUAACACGCCUAAAGCAGCUACGCGUUGUUAACUUUGCUAGGGCCAUGAAAAAUUUGCUAAAUGGCACGCCUCGAGUUCUAAGGGCUUUAAAAGAAAUAGCUAAAUGAGGGCCAUGCAUUUGGGAUUUGUUUGGCACGGCAGAAAUUUCAAUGAAAAUCCAGAAGAAGUUCAAUGAAACAGUAAUUUGUAAUAAAAUUUCAGCCGCACCAAACAAAUCCCAAACAGUAAUACAAGCUCAAAUUGGCUUGCCUUUUCUAUUUGGGCUUCUAUAUUAAUUGGCUUGCCUUUUCUAUUGGGCUUUUGUAUUCUUUGGGCUCAAAUUGGUUUGCCUUCUGUAGUAAUUUUAAAUUGUCUUGCCUUUUCUAUUUGGGCUUUUGAAGCUCUUAGGUCAAAAAAUACAAGCUCAAAAGCACUCAUUAACUUAAAAUGAAAAAAAUGCAAAAGAUUUGAAGUAUCAGAGAAAUAAAAAAGAAAAAUCAAAACAUGCACAAAAAAAACAUAAGAAGAAGAUAAAGAGACCCAAAUGAAUAUUAAAACUCAGAAAUUAAAGGCGAAAUACCUGAGAAAGAGCAGCCUAGAUCGUAAGAAAAUCAAGAGAACUUCGACUUCCAAAUUUCGGCUCAAUCAGAGAUUAGUCAUGUGUUUAUUUAGCAAAAACACACGAAUAAAGUCUGAACAAGCCUGAAAUCUUUGCAGAAUUCUUGAAUUGGAGAAUUUAGGGUUUUAUGUUUAAACUUUGGUUGAAGAUUCGAGGAGUUUGGUUAAGAUUCGAGGGUAACUAACUAUAGAUUAGUGAAGAGGGGGUCAUGGUGGUCAAGGGGUGUUAUUUUGGUUUUGGUUGGUGGUGGCGCCGCUAACCUAAGGCGGUGGGAUUUCAGGGCGGCUGGCUGGGGUUUCAUCUUUUCUGAUCUGAAAUUUGAGGAAUUUAAAUGGCAUUUAAGAAGAACGAAUUGGGUAUUUUGGAUGGGGAGGUAGAGGAGAUUCAGUGGUGUUAAAAUGGUGUCGAUUGACCACCGGCCGCCACCGUAGGCAUUUCCGACAGGUGGCGGAUGGUGGUUUGAGGCGGUGUUAGGUUGGAGUCUCUCAGGGUAUGAGAGAUGAUUGAGGGGGUAUGGGGUCACAUUUGGACAUAUAUAUGUCAAAGACCCCUUUAGUUCAGGACUGUUGGACUGAUGAGAUCCAAUGGUCGAGAUUCAACGGGCGCAAAACGGGGUAGGUUAAACACAAGAGGAGGAGGACCGGGUUUUGAGAUGAGUUUGGGCCGGGUAUUGAACGGUUUGGACCGGUUAAAGCGGCAAAACAUUUGGGCUUGGUGAAAGUCAACCCAAAAAACAGACUCUCUUCCAAUUCCUUUUCUUUUUCUUUUAAUUCGAAAAUUCUAUUUCUUUUAAAAUCAAAAAUAAAAACCUAUAUUAAUUCUUAGAAACUAAAUUAAACUACCAAAUUAUGUCAAUUACUUGAUAUUGUAUUUAUAAUAAUUAAUUAAAUCCUAAAACAAAAAAAAAAA